UUUUCAUUUUCUUAGCUGAUAGACGAAAUAAUCGAGCCUCUAUGGAACUGUAGAUGUAUGUUUCUGAUGGCCCUUCAAAGCUUAGCAUCCCACCGAGUGUUUUCACUAGAAUUCUUUCUCACCUUCCUUGGUGCAAAAAACUGGCAAUCUGGAUGAAAGAGUUGACUGUAUCUUCAAUUUAAAAGCAUCUGCUGCUACGGUCUCAUUAUAAAACCUGAUUUAAUUUUUCAUGCCUCAUGCAAUUAUCUAUGAUUACAAUAGAAAACAUGGGCUCCCUGGUGUGCAUGAGUGAGAUAAAGUAGCAAUAAGUAUAGUAACCAGGAAUGCUCAGGAGUAUAGCAAAAUCCUUCCAAGUCAAGAUCACAUGCAUUGCCCACUGAUAUGAUUCAUCACUGCAGUUAUAAUAACCUAACUUUUUUUUUCAUUGUAGCAGAAAUUUACUGCAAGUUCUGGACAUCACGAAUAAUUCUCAGUGCCAAGAAACAGGCAUUCCAAAAAUAGAUCAAUACAUGGAUGUAAGCCAAGGGAAGUCCAUUAAGAAUGUUUCCCUCAUUCAUGAUCCAAGGAUUGAAUACUUUGCAGAUGGUUGAAAGGAAUCGCCUCUCUUUAACAGCAUCCUACUUCAAGCAUUGGAAUUUAUCGUAACUUUGGGUGUCAAGAAGUGGUUCUACUAUAUUAGUUUAAGAGGAAUGUCUAUUGGACCCAUUUAUUACUCGGUCAUUAAAGAGAAGGACAAACAAUGUCAUUUUAUAGUGCUAUAUAUCACUCUGUAAAUCAAACAGAAUUUCAAGGCAGUUUUGCAUCCAUGAAUAAGCAGCAUCCACUGUAAAUAAAAAGCUUUACCUAUUUAA
Candoia aspera is the source of this 851-nucleotide long non-coding RNA. RefSeq lists it as uncharacterized. The transcript is spliced from 2 exons. The record is from RefSeq and is a predicted model, not a curated record. NCBI's taxonomy places the organism in Eukaryota, Metazoa, Chordata, Lepidosauria, Squamata, Candoiidae.